GAUGAACGCUGGCGGCGUGCCUAAUACAUGCAAGUCGAGCGAACAGAUUAGGAGCUUGCUCCUCUGACGUUAGCGGCGGACGGGUGAGUAACACGUGGAUAACCUACCUAUAAGACUGGGAUAACUUCGGGACACCGGCUCUAAUACCGGAUAAUAUAUUGAACUGCAUGGUUCAAUAGUGAAAGACGGUUUUGCUGUCACUUAUCGAUCGAUCCGCGCCGUAUUAGCUAGUUGGUAAGGUAACGGCUUACCAAGGCAAUGUUCCGUAUCCGACCACAGAGGGUGAUCGGCCACACUGGAACUGGAGCACGGUCCAGAAUCCUACGAGAGGCAGAAGUAGGAGAUCUUCCGCAAUGGGAGAAAGCGUGAAGGAGCAGCAACGCGUGAGUGAUGAAGGCAGUCAGAUCGUAAAACUCUGUUAUUAGGGAAGAACGAAAAUGUAAGAAAAUAAGCAAGUCUUAACGGUACCAAAUCAGAAAACCACGGCUAACUAAGUU
This 497-nucleotide ribosomal RNA is filed under the name uncultured bacterium. RNAcentral's name for it is "partial 16S ribosomal RNA". It matches the Rfam family "Bacterial small subunit ribosomal RNA", at positions 28 to 507 of the family's 1533-position model. The record is from RNAcentral.